Molecule: ribosomal RNA, 235 nt
Filed under: uncultured bacterium
Lineage: Bacteria
Description: partial 16S ribosomal RNA
Rfam family: Bacterial small subunit ribosomal RNA
Source: RNAcentral
CGCACGGGUGGGUAACACGUAUCCAACCUGCCGUCUACUCUUGGACAGCCUUCUGAAAGGAAGAUUAAUACAAGAUGGCAUCAUGAGUCCGCAUGUUCACAUGAUUAAAGGUAUUCCGGUAGACGAUGGGGAUGCGUUCCAUUAGAUAGUAGGCGGGGUAACGGCCCACCUAGUCUUCGAUGGAUAGGGGUUCUGAGAGGAAGGUCCCCCACAUUGGAACUGAGACACGGUCCAA